RNAcentral lists this transfer RNA (85 nucleotides) under Saccharomyces cerevisiae (brewer's yeast). It matches the Rfam family "tRNA". Rfam says of the family: Transfer RNA (tRNA) molecules are approximately 80 nucleotides in length. The record is from RNAcentral. Lineage: Eukaryota; Fungi; Ascomycota; Saccharomycetes; Saccharomycetales; Saccharomycetaceae.
UGGAGGUUGGCCGAGUGGUCUAAGGCGGCAGACUUAAGAUCUGUUGGACGGUUGUCCGCGCGAGUUCGAACCUCGCAUCCUUCAG